This is a long non-coding RNA of Helianthus annuus (common sunflower), 470 nucleotides long. RefSeq lists it as uncharacterized. The record is from RefSeq and is a predicted model, not a curated record. The transcript has 3 exons. NCBI's taxonomy places the organism in Eukaryota, Viridiplantae, Streptophyta, Magnoliopsida, Asterales, Asteraceae.
UCUGUGGAUCGAUCAAAGAAAGGAACCAAGGGGAAAACCCUAAGUUCUACAAAUCAGCAAGAUUGAAAGGGAAAUCAAGAUCAAAUAACCUGCAUGAACUCGAUUCUCUAGUAAUCUAAGCUUGUCCUACAAAGAGGCGUUAAGGAAGAAAGUUCGAGUCAAGUGAAGCAACAAGGGGAUCAAGACCGAGGUAAAUCUCAUGUCUAGCUAUCAAGCUUUGCCCGGAUCGAACACAUCUCAAGCCCGUCAAGCGCUCCGCAUUUUGUAUAAAAUCAAUGUCAAAUUACCUAGUUACUUAUGUCUAUGUUUUGUACUUAAAACUAGUUUGGUCAUGGUUGUCUUUUGAAAGUUGUCGUAAGUGCGUACAUAAACUUAAUGGUUUCGAAACUAAAAAUAGGUCAUCUUUUGUUGUGUAUGUCAUGUCUUUUGAAUGUUUGCGUACAGUUUGAAUGAAGUUUGGUUAUGAAAAA